UACGUAGGGGGCAAGCGUUGUCCGGAUUUAUUGGGCGUAAAGAGCGUGUAGGCGGCUUGGUAGGUCCGCUGUGAAAACUCGAGGCUCAACCUCAGGCCUGCGCGGGAUACUGCUUGGCUAGAGUCCGGAAGAGGAGAGUGGAAUUCCUGGUGUAGCGGUGGAAUGCGCAGAUAUCAGGAGGAACAUCCGUGGCGAAGGCGGCUCUCUGGGACGGUACUGACGCUGAGACGCGAAAGCGUGGGGAGCGAACAGG
Molecule: ribosomal RNA, 253 nt
Filed under: uncultured bacterium
Lineage: Bacteria
Description: partial 16S ribosomal RNA
Rfam family: Bacterial small subunit ribosomal RNA
Source: RNAcentral